UACAGAGGGUGCAAGCGUUAAUCGGAAUUACUGGGCGUAAAGCGCGCGUAGGUGGUUUGUUAAGUUGGAUGUGAAAGCCCGGGGCUCAACUCCGGAACUGCCUUUAAGACUGCAUCGCUAGAAUUGUGGAGAGGUGAGUGGAAUUCCGAGUGUAGAGGUGAAAUUCGUAGAUAUUCGGAAGAACACCAGUGGCGAAGGCGACUCACUGGACACAUAUUGACGCUGAGGUGCGAAAGCGUGGGGAGCAAACAGG
This 253-nucleotide ribosomal RNA is filed under the name uncultured prokaryote. RNAcentral describes it as "partial 16S ribosomal RNA". It matches the Rfam family "Bacterial small subunit ribosomal RNA", at positions 524 to 776 of the family's 1533-position model. The record is from RNAcentral.